RNAcentral lists this long non-coding RNA (1409 nucleotides) under Ananas comosus (pineapple). Its description in RNAcentral is "long non-coding RNA (ACOM_LNC007614)". Lineage: Eukaryota; Viridiplantae; Streptophyta; Magnoliopsida; Poales; Bromeliaceae. The record is from RNAcentral.
GCAUAAUCAUGUUUUACUAGUGAAAUGCCCGCGCGAUGCUGCGGAUCUAAAAAUAUUUUUACAAUAAAUUUUAUUUUUUUAAUAUUUUUAUAUAGUUUUAUAAGUCUAAUUAUUAAUUAAAUAAAAGUUAUAUAAAAAUGAUGGAAUAGUUAAAUCUAUUUAAAUGAAAGUCAUUAAAAUUGGUAUAUGUGCAAGUAAUUUAUACAUCACUUUAUUUUAUAAAGAUUUAUAUGAGAAGGAUUUGAGAUAAAUCUAUCAAAAUAAUUUUUAAAAAAUCAAUAGAUAGAAGGGAAGUAAAUUUGUAGAAGAAAUUGCUUAAUAAAAUUAAUUAUAUAUAUAUAUACACACAUAUACACUAUAUAUUUUUAAAAUUUUUCACUUGAAAUUUAAAAUUAUGUAAUUUUUUAUACAACAAUAUUUUACGUGAUUUAAAUUAAAUCUAUCAUGUUAGAUUUUAUUGUGCAAUUUAUUACGCGUAUUAUUAAUAAAAUUAAAUUAAUUAAAUCAUAGAGUUUAGAGAUUUAAAAUUUUAAAUUUUGAAGUUACAAAAUUGGAAAUAAAUAUUAUAAGUUAAAAUUGAAAUUUAGAAUUUAAAAUAUAAAAUAUAAAAUUUAAGCAUUUAAAAUUUAAAAUUAUAAUAUAUAUAUAUAGAUGAGAGAGAGAGAGAGAGAGAGAGAGAGGGAGGGAGACUAAAGGGGGGUUUGCGGGGUGACACGUGUCACCCUAUGGACCCCCAAACCCUCCUUUAAUGUAGAAGAAAGAAUAGAUUUUUUUGGCUGCAUCGCAUUGGCAUAUCAAAUUUUCCUAAAUCGGCAUUUAUUAUUUGUCCUUAUUAAUAUCAAAGGCUAAAUUACAUAAAAUUUUACUGUCAAAAUCUAAAUUUUCAUUUUUUUUCAUUGUUAUUUAAAAACCUAUACUUUGCCUCCUUGUAAAAUGCAAAAUGUUUACUUUGCCCCCUGCCGUUAGUAAUCCGUUAGGGUUCCGUUUAUAAAAUAUUAUUAUAUAUUUGUUAUGCCAAAAAUACCCUCAGCCUUCUCUCCUGUGAACAUGAUGAGGGGCAAAAAUGGUAAGGGGUAAAAUGAUCAUUUUAACAUCACGGCGUACCUCCUGUGAAUGCUUUUCAUAAGGGAGCAAAGUAUAUAUUUUUAAAUGACAGGAGGAGAAAGUGAAAAGUCGGAUUUUGAUAGGGGAGUUUUAUGUAAUUUAUCUUAUAUAAAACGUAGUAUUCUCUUUCUCUUUCUUUAACUUCUUAUAAUUAAAUUAUUGAUUAUAUAAUUUUUUGCAUUAUUAUUGAUCUUAAACCACCAGUUAUUUUUUUCCUUAAACUAUCUGUUGUUUUUUUACUUACAAUUUUUUAUAAUUUAUAAUUACUAAUUCGAUUUAAUAUUUUAUCAUAUAAUUUUAAAUCA